UUCGAGCGCGUCNCUUUUAGAGCGANCGGCAAACGGUGAGUAACGCGUGGGAAUNUACCCAUUUCUACGGAAUAACACAGAGAAAUUUGUGCUAAUACCGUAUACGCCCUUUAGGGAGAAAGAUUUAUCGGAGAUGGAUGAGCCCGCGUUGGAUUAGCUAGUUGGUGAGGUAACGGCUCACCAAGGCGACGAUCCAUAGCUGGUCUGAGAGGAUGAUCAGCCACACUGGGACUGAGACACGGCCCAG
This 247-nucleotide ribosomal RNA is filed under the name uncultured bacterium. Its description in RNAcentral is "partial 16S ribosomal RNA". The stretch from base 35 to 247 matches the Rfam family "Bacterial small subunit ribosomal RNA", at positions 105 to 334 of the family's 1533-position model. The record is from RNAcentral.